AUGAAAACAUCAUCAAAACAGUUCAUACAGAAGGAAGACUACUCUCUGGAAAAGCCAGCAGCCCGUAACUUCCUCAAUGUAUUUCAUCAGCUAUUCCUUUUGUUAGGAAAAAAUGUCCAGUUUAAAGUAGGUUGGCAUGCUCUUUGCUGUCCAGUUCCAGUCUCCAUGCUACAGCACCACUGCAUAGUAAGUACACAAAAUAUGAGUUUGUUUCACAUAGGGUAACCGUGUCAUUGUACCUUCAAUUCCAUCUUUGAACAUUGCAGUGCUGUCAGACCUCUUAUAUAUAAGGUGUUCAUGCUAGUGAUGUACUUCAUAUAUUCCCAAGUAUUUAACUCACUCUACAUGCAGGAGCUCUGUGACCACAGCUGAUUUGUAGGCAUUACUCCUCAGACUGUAAAGAGUCCUCACAAUCUCUAAUAUUUCACCUGUGGAGACUUCUUAGGUUGCUGGAUCCACCUGUCUGUCCAUCCUUCUGCCACUGCUUAGCCACAGUGUAUCAUAGCCUGGCAUGUUCUCUUAAAUCACCAACAACUGUACUUCGUGUUGACACACCAGUCUAUAAUGUAUGGCAGUUAAGAAAGGACCUUCUGCCCUUUUGCUUCCAGCAAGAACAGAGCAGAUAACUAGGGAGGCAGGAAAGGGUGACACUUUAAACUGACGCAGCAUGAAUCUAUGAAGAUGGUGACUCCGUCUUUGAUUUCCAACUUUAUCUGGUAGGCUAGUUAGCAGGGUUAGGUUCUGGCAACUUAUAGUGUCUCAAAUACCACUUCUCCUGUCUUCAUAUUUCUCUAUUUUAUAAUAUAUAUUUCCUUUCUUUACUUUCGCAUUAUACACAAACACACACACACACACAUUUAUAUACAUCUUCUGCAAUGUGUCUAAAAUACUCAUUAACAUUUUCCUGUUAAAAUUUCAAUGGUGCCUGUGAGCUGAGUGGGUUUCUGAGAACAUGGUCAGACAUGUCUAUGAUUUGACAAUAAAAACUAACCAUAGGAGGCUCA
This 1004-nucleotide long non-coding RNA is filed under the name Anser brachyrhynchus (Pink-footed goose). RNAcentral describes it as "lncRNA (ENSABRG00000010596.1)". Lineage: Eukaryota; Metazoa; Chordata; Aves; Anseriformes; Anatidae. The record is from RNAcentral.